AGAUGUGUCUUGCAGAUGAUCACACCCACCUUGGGUUUGGAAUGAAUGGAUAUAACUUUGGUGUUAUGAGCUAUUUCUGACGUUGGUGUUUUUUUAAGGGGAAACACUCAACAGGGGAGCCAUUAAAAGGGGACUAGGUGGAGGUUGCACAGAGGAGAUCCCUAGAAGACUUCUCCCCCACAAGCCCGUUUGUCUCCAGUUCUCUCAGGGCCCCUCCAUCACAUGAACAGUGGUUUUACCGCAGGGUCAUGACACAUGAAGAAAUUGAAGUCAGCCAGCUGAUGUGGAGAUCUCUCUCUCUCUCUGACAGAGUAAUAAGCACAACUAAGGAUAAGGUGCAGACUGCCAGCAAAAUAUUAAUUUCCUCCUUGGGUUGAUUAAUAUCCCUUGUUUUAAUUCGGUUAUUGGCGUAGCUGAGAGACAGCGUGGGGAGCUACAGUCUCACAUGGCCGCAGAGGAUACCUCCCUUUCUGAAUGAGUGACCUUAGCUGCUGGAACUUGACCCAGCCUUGGUCCAGAUGUGCAACUGCUCAAAACAGCACACUCCUGGUUGGCAAAAGCAUCGAUUAGCAUGUAACACAUGCCCACAGGAGCUAAGCGUCCAAGACUCUGUGGCUUUUGUUCCCGGGUGGAAAAGCUCAAGCCAACGUCUGUGGUUCUCCCUCCAACAGCACCAGUGUGUGCAGGCUGGGAUAUCCGGUGUCUGCACUCAUGAGAAUUUGUCAUUUUUAUGGCUCUGCGGUGAGCUCAUGUUGAGCAACGCUCUGACUCC
Molecule: long non-coding RNA, 772 nt
Filed under: Equus caballus (horse)
Lineage: Eukaryota; Metazoa; Chordata; Mammalia; Perissodactyla; Equidae
Description: lncRNA (ENSECAG00000055538.1)
Source: RNAcentral